This 324-nucleotide ribosomal RNA is filed under the name uncultured eukaryote. RNAcentral describes it as "partial 18S ribosomal RNA". It matches the Rfam family "Eukaryotic small subunit ribosomal RNA", at positions 1470 to 1796 of the family's 1831-position model. The record is from RNAcentral.
CCCUUAGAUGUUCUGGGCCGCACGCGCGCUACACUGAUGCAUUCAACGAGUUUCUUCCUGGUCCGAGAGGAAUGGGUAACCUUUUGAAAGUGCAUCGUGAUAGGGAUAGACUAUUGCAAUUAUUGGUCUUCAACGAGGAAUUCCUAGUAGACGUAGUUCAUCAGACUGCAUCGAUUUCGUCCCUGCCCUUUGUACACACCGCCCGUCGCUCCUACCGAUUGAAUGCUCAGGUGAGCCAUUCGGACUUUCAUCAUGCUGGUUUCCAGUUUUGAUGAAGGAAAGUCUUGCGAACCUUAUCAUUUAGAGGAAGGAGAAGUCGUAACA